RNAcentral lists this ribosomal RNA (495 nucleotides) under uncultured bacterium. RNAcentral's name for it is "bacterial SSU rRNA". It matches the Rfam family "Bacterial small subunit ribosomal RNA", at positions 28 to 536 of the family's 1533-position model. The record is from RNAcentral.
GAUGAACGCUGGCGGCGUGCUUAAUACAUGCAAGUCGAACGAGGGACUUCUGUCUUCGGAUGGAGGUUUCCUAGUGGCGAACGGGUGAGUAACGCGUUGGUGACCUGCCCCGAAGUGGGGGAUAACAGUUCGAAAGGACUGCUAAUACCUCAUGUGAUCAGCUGGAUUAGAUGCCUACUGAUUAAAGGCGAAAGCCGCUUUGGGAGGGGCCUGCGUCCCAUCAGCUAGUUGGUAGGGUAAUGGCCUACCAAGGCGAUGACGGGUAGGGGACCUGAGAGGGUGGCCCCCCAACUGGCACUGAAACACGGGCCAGACACCUACGGGUGGCAGCAGUAGGGAAUAUUGGACAAUGGGCAAAGCCUGAUCCAGCAACGCCGCGUGCGCGAUGAACGGCCUCGGUUGUAAAGCGCUUUAGUAGAGAUGAGAAAGGACAGUAUCCUCAGAAUAAGACCUCGGCGAACUACGUGCCAAGCAGCCGCGGUAAAGUCAACGUCG